RNAcentral lists this ribosomal RNA (3986 nucleotides) under Triticum aestivum (bread wheat). RNAcentral describes it as "partial small subunit ribosomal RNA". Lineage: Eukaryota; Viridiplantae; Streptophyta; Magnoliopsida; Poales; Poaceae. The record is from RNAcentral.
AAUCGGGGCCACUUGUAAGUUGACCUUUCGGCCCACCUCGCAGCCUCCUCGUUCUUUCCAGAGAGGAGGGCAGGUGCUCCCCCUGCCGUGUGCCGUCCCACGUUUCCCCGCCAGCAAGAAAAGCACACGCGCACUCCCGUCCGGCUGACACGUGGGACCCGCCCGUCACCCCCCCGUCAACAAAGCCGCCUCCGGCAACAACCGCCGAGAUUUUGCAAUCCGGUCCUCCACUUCGUCCCUCCCCAGCCCAGAAACCCUAGACCGUCGCUCGCCUGCUUUCCUUCCCCGACGCGACAGGCGAAUCCAAGGUUUCGCGGCGGUCGCGGCCCUAGCACGCGCUGGAUCUGACGCGGCAGCUCCCGGCGGCCGCGUACUACUGCCUGCUCUUCGCUGCGUCGGCGGCCGUCCUCGGGCUCCUCGGCGGCGUCGCGCGCUAUAUGCUUCCCCGGAAGCGGGAGAUCGUCGCCGGCGAGGUCGAGGACUUGCAGAAGAAGACCCGUGCCGGGGAGGGCGAGGCCACCAGGGAGGAAGGAGACGCAGCCAUGGCUGGGAGGGGGAACGAGAUCGACGAGGACCUGCACAGCCGCCAGCUCGCCGUCUAUGGCCGCGAGACCAUGAAGCGCCUCUUCGGCUCCAACGUCCUCGUCUCUGGACUCCAGGGUCUCGGUGCUGAGAUCGCAAAGAACCUUGUCCUUGCGGGUGUCAAGUCUGUAACCUUGCAUGAUGAUGGUAAUGUGGAGCUGUGGGACUUAUCAAGCAACUUCUUCCUCUCGGAGAAUGAUGUUGGGCAAAACCGUGCUCAAGCUUGUGUACAGAAGCUACAAGAGCUGAACAACGCUGUCCUCGUCUCUGCCUUAACCGGUGAUUUGACCAAGGAGCACCUUUCUAAAUUCCAGAAUAACUUUCAUAUGUACUUGCAGGCCGUUGUCUUCACUGAUAUCAGCUUAGAUAAAGCAAUUGAGUUUGAUGAUUACUGCCACAGCCACCAGCCACCCAUUGCUUUCAUCAAGUCUGAAGUUCGUGGUCUUUUUGGCAGUGUGUUUUGUGACUUUGGUCCUGAAUUUACUGUUUUGGAUGUGGAUGGUGAGGAACCACAUACAGGAAUUGUUGCAUCAAUCAGCAAUGACAAUCCAGCACUUGUAUCUUGUGUGGACGAUGAGCGUCUGGAGUUCCAGGAUGGUGAUCUAGUUGUUUUCUCUGAAGUCCAUGGAAUGACUGAGCUGAAUGAUGGAAAACCAAGAAAAGUUAAGAAUGCAAGGCCUUACUCUUUCUUCUUGGAAGAAGACACUUCCUCAUUUGGCACAUACGUUAGAGGUGGUAUCGUCACACAGGUCAAGCCACCGAAGGUUAUUAAAUUCAAACCCUUGAAAGAGGCCAUGUCAGAGCCGGGAGAAUUUCUCAUGAGUGAUUUCUCCAAAUUUGAGCGGCCACCUCUUCUGCAUUUGGCAUUCCAAGCUUUGGAUAAGUUUAGGACUGAGUUGAGCAGAUUCCCUGUUGCUGGGUCCACUGAUGAUGUGCAAAGGGUGAUAGAGUAUGCUAUUAGCAUUAAUGAUACUCUGGGAGAUAGGAAACUUGAAGAAAUUGACAAAAAGCUCCUGCACCAUUUUGCCAGUGGUUCCAGGGCUGUUCUGAAUCCUAUGGCUGCGAUGUUUGGUGGUAUUGUCGGUCAGGAGGUAGUGAAAGCUUGCUCAGGGAAAUUUCAUCCACUUUAUCAGUUCUUCUAUUUUGAUUCUGUCGAGUCUCUCCCUGUUGACCCCUUGGAGCCUGGUGAUUUGAAGCCAAAGAACAGUAGAUAUGAUGCUCAAAUCAGCGUAUUUGGAUCUACGCUUCAAAACAAACUGGAGGAAGCAAAAAUCUUUAUGGUCGGUUCUGGGGCACUUGGAUGCGAGUUCUUGAAGAACCUGGCACUAAUGGGUAUUUCUUGCAGCCAGAAUGGAAAUCUGACUGUGACAGAUGAUGAUGUUAUUGAAAAGAGCAAUCUGAGUCGCCAAUUUCUUUUCCGUGACUGGAACAUUGGGCAACCUAAGUCCACAGUUGCUGCUACAGCUGCUAUGGUAAUUAAUCCUAAACUUCAUGUCGAGGCCCUUCAGAACAGAGCAAGUCCUGAGACUGAAAAUGUGUUUAAUGAUGCCUUCUGGGAGAACCUUGAUGCUGUUGUCAAUGCCCUUGACAAUGUGACUGCAAGAAUGUACAUAGACUCCAGAUGUGUAUAUUUCCAGAAGCCACUUUUGGAAUCUGGGACUCUGGGUGCUAAAUGCAAUACACAGAUGGUCAUCCCUCACCUAACAGAGAACUAUGGGGCUUCAAGGGAUCCACCUGAAAAGCAGGCACCUAUGUGCACUGUACAUUCAUUUCCUCAUAACAUUGAUCAUUGCCUAACCUGGGCUAGGUCUGAGUUUGAGGGUUUACUUGAGAAGACUCCCACUGAAGUAAAUGCUUUCCUGUCAAAUCCUACUACAUACAUAAGUGCAGCAAGAACUGCUGGUGAUGCACAGGCUAGAGAUCAGCUUGAACGUGUUAUUGAGUGUCUUGACAGAGACAAGUGCGAGACGUUCCAGGAUUCUAUUACCUGGGCCCGGCUUAAGUUUGAGGAUUACUUCUCCAACCGUGUGAAGCAGCUGACGUUCACUUUCCCAGAAGACUCGAUGACCAGCUCUGGUGCUCCUUUCUGGUCUGCUCCAAAGCGGUUCCCACGACCUGUGGAGUUCUCGUCGAGUGAUCCAAGUCAGCUUAGCUUUAUUUUGGCUGCUGCAAUAUUGAGGGCAGAGACUUUUGGAAUACCCAUAUCUGAGUGGGCCAAAACCCCAAACAAGCUGGCUGCUGAAGCUGUUGACAAGGUGAUUGUGCCGGAUUUCCAACCAAAGCAGGGGGUUAAGAUAGUUACAGAUGAGAAGGCCACUAGUCUAUCCUCUGCAUCUGUUGACGACGCUGCUGUCAUUGAAGAGCUUAUUGCCAAGUUAGAAGAAGUUUCCAAAACACUGCCAUCAGGGUUCCACAUGAACCCAAUACAGUUUGAGAAGGAUGAUGACACAAACUUCCAUAUGGAUGUGAUAGCUGGUUUUGCCAACAUGAGGGCAAGGAACUACAGCAUUCCUGAAGUGGACAAGCUAAAGGCCAAGUUUAUAGCCGGCAGGAUCAUCCCAGCUAUCGCCACCUCCACCGCGAUGGCCACUGGCCUUGUCUGCCUUGAGCUUUACAAAGCCCUUGCUGGUGGACACAAGGUCGAAGACUACCGCAACACGUUUGCAAACCUUGCGAUCCCUCUCUUCUCCAUUGCUGAACCAGUUCCACCCAAGACCAUCAAGCACCAGGAGCUGUCGUGGACGGUCUGGGACCGGUGGACUGUGACAGGCAACAUCACGCUGAGGGAGCUCCUGGAGUGGCUCAAGGAGAAGGGCCUGAACGCUUACAGCAUAUCCUGUGGCACCUCUCUGCUGUACAACUCCAUGUUCCCCAGGCACAAGGAACGGCUUGACAGGAAGGUUGUUGAUGUUGCCAGGGAGGUGGCUAAGAUGGAGGUGCCCUCUUACCGGCGUCAUCUCGACGUUGUGGUGGCCUGUGAGGAUGACGACGACAACGAUGUCGACAUCCCACUUGUGUCGGUCUACUUCCGCUGAAGAAGCGCUCCUUCUGCGUUUACAUGAUCUUGUGGUUGGUCAUGCUGGAUCGACUGACAUGUCAUGAGUCGCAUUAGUGAUUGUAAGCUGAGUGGGGGCUUAAGCCACAUUAUCGACUGAUUUUUCCUUUCUACCAUCUUGAUGUCGAUCGGAUCAUUGGGGGCUGAUCUCGGGUUGUUACCAGACAUAACUAUUCACGAGACUAGGCACAACAUCAUCUUGAUAAUUGUUGCAUGAUGCGUUCACAACUAAAAUUGGUCGUCGUGGGAUUGAAUGAAUGUUUUAAUCUGUUUGUCCUCUUUUGUGCGCCACUGUGCACUAUUCAAGUGGGAUCACCUUCGUUGCCUUCAUUACUUGUUCAAUUCAAUC